AUGGUACCUGAGCAGGCGCUGGCGGCGGCGGGGAGAUCGAGCCGGCAGACGGAAGGCAGCAGCACGGCGCGGGACAUAUUCACGGCGACUGGGGACCUGCCGGAGCCGGACUGGCUGAGCGCCUGGCAGAGGCACAGCGGCUGGUCGUGCACCAUGCUCCCCAGGUUGGCGCAGCACGUGUCGGGCGGCGCGGCGGCGCCGCCGUCGAGGAACGAGAGGCAGGGGAGGAGGCGUAGGAGCUCGGUGGUGCAGCUGGACGACGACGACCCCGUCGUCUGUGGUUCAGGCGCCGGAUGGGCACGGGGCAGGGAAACCAGCAGCAGCGCGACGCAGAAUGCAGUAGCCGAAGCCGCCAUCGGUGCCAUCGUGCUGCUCUCUGCAAGUUUGCCUGUGAAGAAUCUGAUCGAGUGA
Molecule: ribosomal RNA, 411 nt
Filed under: Triticum aestivum (bread wheat)
Lineage: Eukaryota; Viridiplantae; Streptophyta; Magnoliopsida; Poales; Poaceae
Description: partial small subunit ribosomal RNA
Source: RNAcentral